UAAUCUGUAGAGGACCUGACUUCAGUUGC
This 29-nucleotide non-coding RNA is filed under the name Mus musculus (house mouse). Lineage: Eukaryota; Metazoa; Chordata; Mammalia; Rodentia; Muridae. The record is from RNAcentral.